GAUUUCUGGUUUAAUGCACCUGGCCCGCGGCCACUAGGCUUGUGAGUGCCGGCGCGCGUUUACCAUCCUUCUAGAAAACGUUUCUGCCAUUAACUUGGUUGGGAUCGUGAACUAGAUCUUUUACUUUGAAAAAAUUAGAGUGUUUAAAGCAGGCUUUUGCUAUGAAUACAUUAGCAUGGAAUAAUAAUCUAGGACUUCGGUUCUAUUUUGUUGGUUUCUAUAACUGAAGUAAUGAUUGAUAGGGACAGUUGGGGGUGCUAGUAUUGGCCGGCCAGAGGGGAAAUUCUUGGAUUCGGUCAAGACUAACUUAUGCGAAAGCAUU
RNAcentral lists this ribosomal RNA (322 nucleotides) under uncultured Rhogostoma. RNAcentral describes it as "SSU rRNA". The stretch from base 105 to 322 matches the Rfam family "Eukaryotic small subunit ribosomal RNA", at positions 736 to 955 of the family's 1831-position model. The record is from RNAcentral. Lineage: Eukaryota; Cercozoa; Thecofilosea; Cryomonadida.